UUUCAGUUAAGAUUGACCAACCCCUCAUUUCAGAAAAGCAGAGGGUUAAGAGGAGCCAGUGAACUAGAGAGAGACAAAGGUUUCCUUCAGGCCCUUGGAGUUAAGAGUAAAUGGCUGAGAAGACAGUGAGAAUAAGGAAUCUAUCUUCCAGGAAAUGAUAUCAGGAAAUGAUUCCCAAGGCCCUGAGGAGGAAAAUAGAGUUCAAG
RNAcentral lists this long non-coding RNA (206 nucleotides) under Sarcophilus harrisii (Tasmanian devil). RNAcentral's name for it is "lncRNA (ENSSHAG00000032309.1)". Lineage: Eukaryota; Metazoa; Chordata; Mammalia; Dasyuromorphia; Dasyuridae. The record is from RNAcentral.